CACCGCCCGUCACAUCAUGGGAGUCACUUGUUCCCGAAGCAGGUGCGCCAACCCGCAAGGGGGGCAGUCUCCUAAGGAAUGAGUGGUAACUGGGAUG
RNAcentral lists this ribosomal RNA (97 nucleotides) under uncultured bacterium. Its description in RNAcentral is "partial 16S ribosomal RNA". It matches the Rfam family "Bacterial small subunit ribosomal RNA", at positions 1388 to 1482 of the family's 1533-position model. The record is from RNAcentral.